Molecule: long non-coding RNA, 439 nt
Filed under: Homo sapiens (human)
Lineage: Eukaryota; Metazoa; Chordata; Mammalia; Primates; Hominidae
Description: HSALNT0381868
Source: RNAcentral
UUGUGAUGAAGUCCAAGUUCCUUAGGAGGAUAGAAUUAGACCUUUACGAGAAGCACAGUUUUGUCUUCAGUUUCCUCUCCCCCCACCCGGAAUGGCCUGAGCCGAAGCCAGCUCCCUCCGAGAAGUCAUUACCGCCUGACUUGCGUUUGAUAUUUAGACACCUUGGUCACAACAUCUUGCAUUCUCUCGGGAUGCUGAUUUCUAACUGCUCUUUGGCCUUUCCUGCAUUGGUCCUCCUCAGGCAGGGGAUCCCUGCUCUUCUAUAUUAGUGAGAAAACCAAGGCUCAGAGAAACUGUGGAUUUUCUAAGGAUGCUGGCUCCCCGUCCCCUGUCCACCAUGAGUCAAAGCAAUGUGAGUCCCUCACCAGAUGCAACUGCCCAGUCUUGGACUUUCCAGUGACCAGAAUCAUGAGCCAAAUAAACCUCUUUUCUUUAUGAA